AUAUAUAUUGGAAUUAGACUGGAAUACUAUUAAUAGUAAAAUCCUCUUUUGGCUAUCAAAUUUUUAAUCCUUGGAUGAAAAAUUGUAGGGUUAGAAUGAUAUUAGUCAGUUAGAGUUGAGUGGUCCCUCUAGGGUUGAGUGGUCCCAACUGGGUUAUAGUAUUUAAUCCAAUGGUUAGAAAUGAUGAAAAGAGUUGAUCCAAAGGCUAAAAAAACUGGUAGCAACAAUGAGAUUUUGCUACUAAUAGUAGCCCAGUCCAACUCUAUAUAUUGAGCUCCUAUGCUUUUAAAAGUAUCAAAUUAUUGGUGCUUGUAAAUUUUUAGGCCUUGGAUUAAUAGAUGUGCAGUUAGGAUGAUGUGGGCCUCCUUGGAUUAAGUGGGUGCUUGGUUGAAUAGUAUAAUAUAACAGAUGAAAAUGAUCAAAGCCGUAGAUUUAACAGUAAAAAAUUCACAAGCACAAAGUGCUUGGUGCUUUUACAAACACCAUAGCCGAACUCAUAUAGAAUUAUAUAUAUAUAUAUAUAUAUAUAAUGUGGGAGCGUGCGACUUUAUUGAGGAACUUCUUAACGAAACCUCCUUAAAACAAUUUGAUAAGCCGUGUGUGAUUUAUUGUGCGUUCAAAUCUAAAAAUUCCAUUCUAAUCUAAUAAUUUUUAUCUGAACUUUAGUACUGUAUUAUAUUAUAUAAUGUAUUUGGAGUAAUCAAAAGAUAAAUAAUGAGGUGUUCCUCAUACAAAGUUUUUUUUAAAAUUUUUUUUUUUGCUUGGUGAUCAUAACCACACUCCCAUAUUAUAUUAUUAUAUAUUUAGCAAUGGUAUCUUCAGAAGCACGUAGCAGUUAAGCAAAGCAUAUGUAGAUGAUCAUUUUAUCCAUGCUUUAAAGUUAAGAAUUUCUUUAAAUUUCGUGCACCGUCCUAUAUCCACUCCAAAAGAAAAAAGGUAAUAUUAAGCCGACUUAUAUAUAUAUAUUCUGGAUAUUUUUCUAGAAAAUAUUUUAGGCCUUUUUGGCACCAAAAAAAAAAAAAAAAACUGGUUUUCGGAUUUGUUGCAAGGUUUGGUUAUUUUUUUAGUUUAUAUAUUCGGGAUCAAAUUCGGUUUUUUCGCAAGAAAUGGGGAGCAUUUGAUCAGAUCUUAAAAGAGCCUUCAAAAUUUAAUAUAACGGUGGACAAAAACUGUUAAAAGUAUUUUAGAAAUUAGUAUAUAUUUUUAUGUAAAUUAAGGUAAUAUUUUUUAUGUCAAUUAUACGUUAAAAAAAAAAGGAGGGGAGAAUUUCUAAUUGCAUGCAAUGCAUGUAGAUUGAGUUGAUAUGGUAUGCUGAGGUUGUAAAAAUGUUUAAACAUCAAAGUUAUCUUAAUUUUUUGUGAAAACUGAAGUUUAACACCACUGCUCACAUGUUAAGUAGAUAUGUACCAAGCUAAAAAUGAUACAUAAUAUUUGCGUAGGAUACUGAGAAUGGAUAGACGGAAAAGAUGACAAUUGAUCAUUUUAUUUCAGUUAAUAUAGUAUAUAUAUAUAUAUAUAUAGUAUAUUAUAUAUAUAGAAUUAGGCGUGGAAAUACUAUUAUAGUAAAAUGCAUCUUUUACUAUCAACGUUUUUAACCCUCUGGAUGAACGAAAAUUGUAGGGUUCAUGGGAAUUGAUAUUAGUCGGUUUUUAGAGUGAGUGGUCCCCUAGCGGUAUGAGUCUCCACUGGAAACUGGGUUAUAGUUAUUUUAAUCCACAUGGUUAUAGGAAAAUAAUGACAAGGUUGAUCCAAGGCUAAAAAACUGGGUAGAACAUAUGAAAUUUUGCUACUAAUAGGUAGUCAGUUCCACUCAUAUUAUAUAAAUAUAUAUAUAUACUAUACUCUUUAUGAGGUAUAAUUAAAUUCUUUUAUAUUUAUACGUUUUUGGCCUAUUAGAUCUAUUCCUAUUGAUUAUUACUUCACCUGUUAGAUCAUUACUAGUCAACAACCAUCACUCAUAUUCUAAAAGACCACUACUAUUCUAACCGAAAAUCACUAUUAUCCGUAACCGCCCAUUGCCUAUCCAAUGGCGCGAUAAUUUAUGUAGUAUAGUAUAGGGUCAGGGUCUAUACUCAUAAUAGUAUAGUAGUCCUAUUCUCUCUAUCCAGCGUAUAUAUUAUAUAUAUAUAUAUAAUUAUAUCAUAUAGAAUUAGGCUGGAAAUACUUAUUAAUAGUAAAAAUGCGUAUCUUUUACUAUCAACGUUUUUAACCCUUGGAUGAAAAAAUUGUAAGGGUUCAGGAAUUGAUAUUUAGGUCGGUUUUAGAGUGAGUGGUCCCCUAGGGUAGUCGUCCCCACGAGGUGGGUUAUAGUUAUUUUAAUCCAACUGGUUUAGAAAAAUAAUGACAAGAGGUUGCAUCAAAGGCUAAAAACUGGGUAGAACAUAUGAAUUUUGCUACUAAUAGUAGCAGUUCCACACUAUAUUAUAUAAUAUAUUAUAUAUACUAUACUCUUAUGAGUAUAAUUAAAUUCUUUUAUAUUUAUACGUUUUUGGCUAUUAGAUCUAUUCCUUUGAUUAUUAUCACCUGUUAGAUCAUACUAGUCAACCAACCAUCCACUCAUAUUCUAAAAGACCACUACUAUUCUAACCGAAAAUCACUAUUAUCCUAACCGCCAUUCCUAUCCAAUGGCCCGAUAAUUUAUGGUAUAGUAUAAGGGUCUAUACUCAUAAUAGUAUAGUAGUCCUAUUCUCUCUCUCCCCAUAUAUAUAUAUAUAUAUAUAGUGAGGCUACUAUGCUAUUGGAAGCACGGAGCCUUCCGUGCUUUCAGCUCGUUUUCGAUGUUGCGACUUUCGAAUCGUCGAUCGGCGCCGUUAAACUUGAUCUAGAGUAUUUGAAGUACCUAGAAAAUAAAUUUUAUGAUUUUACGAUAUCAUUUGCCUAGUGAACGAAGAGGCUCAAAAUCAACGACUGAAAAUAAAAAUCUUACAAAAUAUAAUAAUAUGACAUUAAAAUUUUAAAUCAAAGAUAUUGAUCUUAUUUUAUAUAGUAUAAAAAAUUUUAGCAUAUAUAUACUCAUGUAGUACUUUAGCAUAUAUAUAUACUCAUGUGGUACUUUCAAUAUUUUAAAUCUUAAUUAUAUCGGCACAUUGAUCAUUCUCUAGCCCUCGGGCUAAUGCUGGAGAACCACUAAACCCAAGGGAGGCUCACUAUCACCCCAAGUACUCUACAAUUAUUUUCGUACUUUUAAGUCAUUUUCGAUUAUAGAAUUUUUGAAGCGACGAUUCAUACACUUAAAUAUGAUUUAGAGAUCGAAUUUGAAACUCCUAGAAACGAAAUUCAUAAUUUUUCAACAUAAUUACGUUACGAUCAAAAGAUCUAAAGAUUCACAAUUUUUAACGACUAGUGUGGAAUGCUGCUAGUUUAACAAUUUAAAAAAAUUCGAAAUCAUUUGAAUUUUUGAUAGAAAAUUUCAUUCACUAUCUAGAAAAAGAUCAAUAGCUCUAACCUUAAAUUGAAAAAUUCGAUCUCCUAUUUUUAAACGGUCAUUCGGUUUUGACCGUUCAUUUUAUACUUGCUUAAUAAACUUAGUUAUAAUUUCAAAAAAUUAUAAAAUUUAUUUUUAAAAGUUCUAACUGCUUUAAAUCAUAUUUAACGUUAUGAAUAGGCAAUUUGAAAACGACUUAUGAAUACGAAGAUCUCUAUACUUAUAAGAAUAUAAAAGCCCUAAAUUUUUUUUUUUUUCCUAUCUGCUUUGUUUAUUUUUUAAUUUAAAAAUAAACUUAGCUGGACUUGUGAAGCAACUAAAUUUCGAACUUAGAAUCUCGAAUACCAAUCAUUAAUUUCUUUAUCACUUGUGCUAGGAACGACCGGUGGCCUGUGGCAGUGUUUGGAUUGGGGAUAAGGGGUUAUAUUUUGUAUUCGAGAAUAGUAAUUUUUCGGUAUCUGAAAUAAUCUGGUAUAACUAUCUCUACCAACACCUCCAUUUUCUACAUAUAACUACAUAUUAUUUUUUUUAUUCCAUAUUAUCUAUCCAAACGCUAUUUUUUUUGUCCCCGGGAACAAUCUAAUUUUUAUCCAAACGCUAUUUUUCUUAUCCCCAUACUUAUACCUAUCCCUGUAAUACCCGAACCAAACGCUACCGCGUAGGUUUUUAAUAGUGGUUCUACAGGCUUAUUCAAACAAAAAAUAAUAAAAAAUAAAAUAAAAUCUGCCUCCCGUGAAAAGUGGCGCGACGCAUUGUACAUUUUUAAAUGGCAAAACCAUAUAUUCCCCUUCUUAUUCUCCCUAGAAUAACUCACCCCCCCCUAUCCACCUCACUUAUCCCCUCUCUCUCUCUCUCUCUCUCUCUCUCUCUCUCUCUCUCUCUCUCUGAAUAAUAAAUAAAUGAAUAAAUAAUUCUAAUUCCUCUAUUCCUCCUCACUCCCUCCAAAUCCAAAUCCAAAUCCCUAUUUAUACCCCCACCUCCACUCCUCACUCCAAAUCACUCUUCCUCCCCCCACAAUUCCCCUGCAAUGUCUUCCAAACCCUUCUCCCUCCUCCUCCUCCUCCUCCUGCUUCUCUCCACCGCAAUUCUCCUCCGCUGCGCGGCGGGGGCAGGCGCAGCUGCGGCGGCGCAGCGCGGGGCGUUCGCAUGCGCGGCAGGGGGGCCGGGGGCGGGGAUGCGGUUCUGCGACGCGUGGGCGCCGGUGCGGGAGCGCGCGCGGGACCUGGUGGCGCGGCUGACGCGGGCGGAGAAGGUGCGGCUGCUCGGCGACGGCGCGGCGGCCGUGCCGCGGCUGGGGAUCGCAAAGUACGAGUGGUGGUCGGAGGCGCUCCACGGCGUCGCCAACACGGGUCCCGGGGUCCGCUUCGGCGGCGCCUUCCCCGGCGCCACCAGCUUCCCCCAGGUCAUCACCUCCGCCGCCUCCUUCAACGCCUCCCUCUGGCAGCUCAUCGGCACGGUACGUAUCUAUCAUUCUAUCGUAAUUGUUGUGCCUUCUAUUCACAUUUCACAAACGUUCGCGAUGUUUCCAUCUCUUUAUAAUAUUCUCACUCUCAAAAAUUAUGAAAAAUUAUGUUUCUUUUUUAAUAUAGGAUUUAUAUAAAAAAAAGUAUAUUAAAUUACGAAAAAAAAUAUAGAGAACUAAUUGCAAUAACGUAGAUUGUGUAAGGACUAUUCAUACAUUUUACAUUAAUGUGAAAAUAAGAGGAAUACGAAUAUCAUAACCAUAAUCCAUGCAUAGUAACCUUUUAAUAACUUAUUAUUAUUUUUUUCUUUUUAAUCAUAGUAAAGUGCUCAUCAGAGUGUAUUAUGAAGUUAGGUAUCUUCAUUUUUUAGCUCGUAUUACAUUAAUGUGAAAAUAAGAGGAAUACGAAUAUAAUCAACAUAAUCCAUGCAUAGUAACCUUUUAAUAACUUAUUAUUAUUUUUUUCUUUUUAAUCAUAGUAAAGUGCUCAUCAGAGUGUAUUAUGAAGUUAGGUAUCUUCAUUUUUUAGCUCGUAUUAUGUUGAUUAUUAUAGUAAUAUACUCGAUAAUUAAAAAGCGCUUUUUUUAAUUGCCUCCGAAAACUAAGGGCCUACGUGCAAAAGCAUACACACACCUGCAACUCAUAGGUAAAUAUGAAUGCCAAUAUCAACUUUAUAUGGGUUUCUAUGCAAUUUUGCACUUUUUUGUCCAUGAAUUAAAUCAACAUCUAGCCAUUUUGAGAGUUCAUGCCAACAAAAGAUAUGGUUACAAAAUAAACUUUUAAAAUAAUAUUAUAUAUUGUGGAAGCGUGAUUUUUUUUUAUACCAAUUGUUGGAACCGGUAUUUGUCCAUAAAACAAAAUAAUAUGAAAAAGAGAUAUCGAGCAGAAAGAAGAUAACGAAACUAAUACUUUAUUAAUAAAAAGCAAUUAAUUACAUUCUGAACAACACCCAUGCAGUUAUAUCUACUAUGGUUUAUUUCUCUAAUUAAUUCAUACCUAACUAUAUAUAACAGAUGAUAAAUUUAAUUUUACUUUGGAUAAUUACAAAUUCUAAUCAUAAUCAAAUAAAAGAUUUAAAUUUACCUGUAACUGUAUUUUAAUUAAGUUUGAAUUAUUAUUUCCAACAUCCUCUUUUAAUCCAAAUUUCAUUUUCGAUCAAACCGCAAAUUCCGUGAAACAUGCACUUUGAUUUUGCAAUCUUUAUUGUUGUUGUUGUCGUUGUGUUCAAGUUGUGCACAUGACGCCUGUCAAAUAAUUUCGCCAUGGUUGAAAUAUUGGCCACCAGUAAUUUUUAUCAUAUCCAUCAAUCUUUACAAAUUGCUGAUGCCAAAAAAUAUCUUAAAAAACAUAUAAUUUUGAAAAAAUUGGAUCGAUAUUAAUUUUCUAAUUUUGUGGUAGGCGAGGAAAGUCUGAUAGACAUGAAUGUCUGUUCGGUACAUUGAUCUCGAUUUAUAAAUUUUCAUGUGCUUUCUAUUUUCGUAAAUCUAAUUUGUGAUCUGCAACUUGGAUCAUAUUAAAAUAAUGGUAAACUUCCUUCCUACUUUGUUGCAUAAUUUCUUCAUCAACAGAAAUUUCUUCAACCAUAUUAUAAUUAUGAACUUUCUCAUUAGCCUGAAUCUCAUCAUUUUGAUCAACUGCAUACUCUUUACAAAUCUUAUCUUUUUCAUGAUCUUGAUCAGAUUUUUUUUUUCCAAUUUUUUUUACAAAUGGGGUUCUCUAUAUUUUCACCAUGGGUUGAAUUUUUUUUUCUUUUUUUUGAAUUUCAUUCUCUUUCUUCAAAUAUUCUCCUCCAAUUUUCGAUAGUAUUCUCCACGCUUCUGAUGUCGUCUUUAUCGUUGAAUUUUUUCCAACCAACGAUAAAUCCACUGGUUGAAAAAUAUCUGAUAGAAGUUCUCUAUCUCUUUUUCUAGAUUUUUUUUUAUCAAAUUUUUUUCAUAAGUUUUAUUUUCCACUAAAUCCCACAAAUCUAGGAUUCUAAAAAAUAUCGAAUGAUAAUUUUUCAUCGUUUAAAGUUCGUUCCAUCGAACUUUGGUAAAUUAGGUUGAAUAAACCAAUCUAAAUCUAUAACAAAAUUUGAAAAUCUGAAAAAUAAAUUUCAAAUUUAUAUCUUUCGGUUUGGAUGACGUUCUUAGUUCAUCGAGAUCUCACCGAAUUAUUUUGUACUUCGGCUUACUUGGCUAUCUAGUCAAGUCUUCUUGAAUCUCUUCAUGGGUUCUCUUCGCUCUCUUUUCGUCAAGAGUCACAACCACUCGGUGUGUUGUGCGGAGGCCAAUUUCUUCAAAAUGAUUUCUUCGCUUUGGUUUCACCUGAACGUCACUUUCGUCAAUCAGCUACGAAUUGGUUGAAUUUAAGGCAGCUCGAUCUCCAGUAUAUUGGAUCUAUACUCUUUUCAAAUAUGUUGACAUUCAAUUUAUAAGUCACAUGAUACUUUUUUGCUCUGAUACCACCUGUUGGAAAUUGUUGAAACUGCUAUUUGUGCUGAUACCAAUUAUAUAAUCCAAGAUAUAAAAUAUAACAAAAUAAUAUAGAGAAGAGAUAUUUGGAGGAGUAAGAAGAUAACUAAACUAAUACUUUAUUAAUAAAAAGUAAUUAAUUACAUUCUGUACAACAUCCAUGCAGUUAUAUUUAUUAUGACUUUUUUUUUAAUUAAUUCAUGCCUAAUUAUAUAUAGCCAUCAAAUCAUAACAGAUGAUAAAUUUUAUUUUAUUUUAGAAUAGUGUGACGUGAGGCUGUAAACGAGUUAAACACGAGCGAGUUGAGAAACUGGCUUGUGUUCGUUCAUUUGUUAGAUGAGUCGAAAAUAAGCUGACUCAUUAAAAUAUCGAACUGAAAAAUUUAACUUGUGUUCGGCUUGUUUAAUAACGAACCAAACACGAACUGACUCAUGAAUUAUAAGUUAGUACGUCGGUCCAACUGGAAGGCGAAAAGUCGGAAAAAAAAAUUAGAAUUUUAAUCUAAUGAAAUAGAACACGAGCGAAUUGAUCCGAGCUCGUAUUCGACUCGUCUAUUAAAUGAGCGAUUGAUUUUGAGCUCAUUUCGAGCCGAAUGCAAACCCUGGCAUUGCGGUAGAGAUGGAAAUAACGGUAAUGAGAGAGAGAGGAUUUAGUGUUCUAUGGAUGACGUGGUGGACCCGGUGCACUAAAAUUUUUCAAAAAUAGUACAGUGUGUAGUACAUUUAUCUACCACUGUACGUUGACAACGCAUAAUGUAUCUAUGCGUGUGUUGUGCGACAUCUAGCACUCAAUGACAAUGAGGUGGGUUAACACUUCAACACCUACUUCACAUGAUUGCUCAUAAAUAUAUAUAUAUUUAAAAAUCAGGUGAAUUUAAUUUUGGUCCCCAAACAAUUUUAAUCUUUAAUUUUGUUAUUAUUUAGGUUUAAACUUUAAUAAGGCACUGUUUGGAUACUUGAAAAUAUUAUUGUAAUGUAAUUAUAUGUUACGAUAUAUGCUUAAUUAUAACAAUAAGCAAAUUUAGAGCAUAGGCUUGCUCUUUUUCUACUGUUAUAAUAAUUCACGGUACUUUUAAAAUAUUUUUACUCUUUUUUGGUACUCUAAAAAAAAAAUCUAAAUACACUUUUGUAAANAUAUAUAUAUAUAUAUAUAUAGUCCGGCUGGAAUACUAUCGAUAGCACAAAAUUUUUGGUGCUAUUAAGUUUUCUGCGGUUAGAUUUAUCUUUUUUAUCAUUUUCAUCCGUUCGAUUAUGUUAUUCAACCAACCACCUACUCAACCCUAGAAGACCUACAUCAUCCUAAUUAUACAUCUUUUAAUCCAUGUCGGAAAACUUAAUAGCACAAAAUCAUUGGCGCUAUUAAUAGUAUUCCAGCCUAAUUAUAUAUAUAUAUAGAGUGAAGUUGGAAUGCUUCUGAAAGUAUGAAGUUUUUCACAUUUUCAAGUCGUUUUGGAUGUUGAGAUUUUUGAAUCGACGAUCAGCUUCUUGAGACUUGAUAGAUUUAGUGAUCGAAAGAACUCAAAAUCAAUAAUUUGAACAUAACUUAUUUUUCUUCCAACAUUUGUAUGGACAUAAUUUAUAAUGAGUAAUAAAUAGUAUGGGCUAAAUAUUCUCAUCAACGGAUUUUUGCCUCGUACAGCUACAGUACAAUUUUUUCUCUUUCGCUGUAGCUAUAGUACAAUUCCUAAGACGAAACUUGUAGGACACUUAACACCGUUGUAUUGUCAUAAAUGGCGAGCUAAUUCACGGGCAUAGAAUUUAAUUUAAUUUUAGAAAAAAAAGUACUAUAUACGUACUCAAGAUAAGUAUAAAUUUUGUACACAUUUUGAUAAGGCUAAAUUACAGAAAAUUUUUUUGUCAAAAUUCAAUUUUUUACUUUUGCUCCGUGUCAUUUAAAAACCUACACUUUGCCCUCCUAAAAAAUAAAAAAUAUUCACUUUAGAUCCCGCCGUCAGUGUUCCGUUAGGGUUCUGUCUAUAUCCCAUUAUUAUAUAUUUUUUUUAUUUCCAAAAUAUCCUUUUACAGAUAAAGGAGGAUUGGGGAAGAAGAGGAAGAGGGAGAGGCAUUUUGGCCAUUUUAUCAAUAUUAUUAAUACCGUACCCCUCCGGGAACAUUUUUUAUUUUUUAGGGGAGCAAAGUGUAGGUUUUAAAUGACAGGGCGGAUAAGUGAAAAAUCGAAUUUUGAUAGAAAAAUUUUCUGUAAUUUCAUGAGGUAUUUAUCAUGUUGUUGUCAAUGUUUUAAAACCCGCUUCCAUUCAUCCCUUUAAAUCGAAUAAAUUAAAAUUCGUUUUGAACCGUUUAAAUCAGGCCAGCAAUUUUUAAUUUUGUUUAUGAUUGAUUUUUGCUAAUUUAAUUUUUUUUAUUAUAAAAAAAUUAAAAACUUAUAUUUUUCUUAAUUUUAUAUAAAAAUUAUUAUUUAUAAUUUUAAAAUAAUUAAAUAUUUACGAUGUCGUGCUAAUGUACCUGGUUUAACCCGCACCGAUUAAACCAAUAACUCUGGACCCAAAAAUUUAAUUUUUUUUUCUACUUUAGUUUUGUAAUGCAUACUUUGGGGUACACUUUGUGAUAUGCCUGUCGAAGGAUUAAUUGCACCGUUGGUCUCCAACAUUUAUCUAUUUUAAUUUUAGUUUUUAAUCUCUUAUUUUUUUUUACAAUCAGGUCCUCAAGUUUAGAACUAAUUGCAAUAUGAGGUCUCUGACCUUCUCUGAUUGGCGGAUUCGGCGCUAUGCAUACUACGAGCGUACCCAACAAUUCAAGUCGUAUUUUUCCCGCUCCAAUAUAAUAAUAGAAUGAUUACUUACGGGGACAAUUUGGGGUACCCAUACGAGACCUCUCACGGGGGCGUCCCAUAUUGUCCUUUGUUGGGAUAUUAGUUUAUUACCUCAGAAUGAUUAAUUGCACCGUUGAUCCUCAACCUUUUUAUAUAAUUUUUCAUUGUGGUCUCCAACCUUUUAUUUUCUUGCAAUCAUCGAACUCAUGACCUUUAAAAUUAAUUGCACUAUUGAUUCAUAUCACUUUGGCCCCUAAUCUCUUCUUCUCUUUAGAUGUCCAUCGCGUUAGGUCCAAUCCCAUUAUCCUCAUCAAUAUUUUUUUUUUGUGUCUACGUACCAUGACGUUGAAGUACUUGUGCAUAUUGCGUACUGCCUCUUUUAUAGAAUGUGUGAUACUAUUGACGUUACGUCGGGAGUAGGAAUGUCAACGGGUAUGGAUAUCCGAAAUUUUAUCCGAAUUCGAAUCCGAAUGAAACGAAUAUAUUCGAUGGAUAUGAAUAUAGAUUUGGAUAUGGAUAUAAAAAAUAGAAAUCCGACGGAUAUGGAUUUGGAUAUGGAUUUUGAUUGUACCCGACCAGAACCCGAAUCCGACCCGAACCCGAACCGAACCCGAAUUUAUUUUGUAUUAUAUAUAUAAUAUAUAUAUAUAUAUAUAUAUAUAUAUAUAUAUAUAUAUAUAUAAAUUUAAUGUUAUAUUUGAAUUUGUAUUUUAAAAAUUUAGAUUUAAUAUAAUAUAUUUUGAAAUAUUAAAAAAAGAAAUAAUUGUUUCGGGUUCAAAUUUUCGGGUUCAAGUUCGGGUUCGGAUUUCGAAUUUUUGAUCAGGUUCGGGUUUGGAUAUGGAUUUUUAAAAUCCGUCGGGUUCGGGUUCGGAUUCGGGUUCGGGUCUCGGGUUUGGAGUCGGAUUCGGGUUCGGGUUUUUAAAAAUCCGCCCCGAAUCCGACCCGUUGACAUCUCUAGUCGGGAGUGUUAGUUCCUAGACUCUUUAGAAAAAUUUUUAAAAAAAUCAAGAUUGAUCGAAGACUAUCGUAUCAUAACCGUGUUUUAUAUGAGCAGGCUAUAUUUAUUAGAGUUGACGUAGCCUAUCUUAUCAAAGUUAAUAUAAAUUUGGAUGAUUGAAAUCUAAUUAAAAUAAAAUAAAAAUAUUAAAAAUCAAAUAGCGAAAAAAAUAAAGUUAGGGACGAGAAUGAAAAAAAAAAGGGUAAAGGUUAGGCAUCUAUGGUUCUAUUAACACCCCAAAUCCCCUAUAAAUUUGGUGGAUCAUGGUGAGCAGUACAUUAAUUAACUCUUAUAAUUUUAUAUUUUUAGAAUAAGUAAAUUCAGCUAGAGAUGUAAGAGUAACUAGAUUUCCAACUUGAGAUUUUGAAUAUCAAUUAUUAAGUUUUUAGUCAACUAUAUUAAGUACAGCCGCUCUAGUAGAAUUCUUGGUUUUUUUAUUGAUUUUUUUAUAAGAUAAAGACCGCGAGCUGCCGGCUUCGUUUAUUUUUUACUUUAAAAACGAACAAAGUUGGAAAUGUAAACAAUCAGGUUUCAAAGUUGAGAUCUCGAGUAUUAACUAUCAAGUUGUUAACCAACUGCACCAGGUACGAUUGGUAUUUCAUGACUAGGGUGUAAUGCAGGUCGUGUCGGAUGAGGCACGUGCGAUGUACAACGCGGGUCAGGCGGGACUAACGAUGUGGAGUCCGAAUGUGAACAUCUUCAGGGACCCGCGGUGGGGCCGCGGCCAGGAGACCCCCGGCGAGGACCCCCUCGUUGCUGCGCAGUACGCAGCCGUGUACGUGCGCGGCCUCCAGCAGCCCUACGGCGGUUCCCCCGGGCACAGCCGGCUCAAGCUCGCCGCCUGCUGCAAGCACUACACCGCCUACGACCUCGACAACUGGAAGGGCCACAAUCGCUACCAGUUCAACGCCAUAGUAUGUCUCUUCUUCGCUCAAAAUCUAUAUAAUUCUUGAACAUUGACAGCAUCAUUGUCGUAGCAGAUUCAUUUCAAUAUUGUUGAUGAGUCACUAUCGCUCUUAAGUGUUGAAUUUUUCACAACGGGUCAUCGAAACUAGUGAAAAAUUUCACCAGCUGAAAAUUUUGAUCAUAUUUAAUAAACCUACUUACGAAUAUUUGUAUACGUAGGUGAGCAAGCAAGAUUUGGAGGACACAUUCAAUGUGCCGUUCAAGGCGUGCGUGGAGGAAGGGCAGGUGGCGAGCGUGAUGUGCUCGUACAACCAAAUCAACGGCGUGCCCUCCUGCGCCGACCCCAACCUCCUCAGCGGCACCGUCCGCGGCCUGUGGGGCCUCGACGGGUGAGUCCCGAGCUCAAUUCGUAAACUACUAAAUAUAUCAAAUUUUAAUUUAUAGUAAUUUCUAAUUCAAACUUUUUCAUAAUCGAACUUAGAUGAGUGAAUAAUGACGCAUCACUUAUAUAAAAUGAUAUGGUAUCUUAAUUAUUAGCGCAUUAUUAAUCACGAUACUCUUACUCACUUCUAUAUUAACGAUAUUACAGGACUUGAUUGCAAUAAUUCUGAAAAUUCGAGUUGGAAAUUGAAGCAAGUUAAAUGCGUUUUGUUGAUUUUAACUGAAACCUUUAAGUUUUCACUUGUUUCGAUUUGAAACUUUUUGUCGAAUUACUUACUGAUUCUGUCAAAUGCAUUUUUAGCUGAGAAAGUAUAAAUUUUGUCAAUAAUUAAUUUUAACAUUUUUUUUAAAAAAAAAUCUCUUAUUAGCAUUUACAUUUUUAAUAGUACAUAACAUUUUUCUUUUCCAUUUUUUUUUUUUUUUUUUUUUUUGAGAGAUAGAUAGCACGCUACCCGUUUCGUUUACUUCAUUUAAAAAUAAAUUGUCUCGGAUUGCGACUCUGUAGGUGUUUUAUACGGUGCUCAACGUUUCACCCACACCCCAGAAGAUGCAGUGGCUGUUACGCUCAAAGCAGGUAAUUUUUUAAAACAAUCAAUCCAUUUUUGCUUAUCUACUCACUCAUCCAAAAAAAAAAAAAAUAGAACAACUCAUUUUUCUCUUUUCGUCAGCUUUUCUGUUAAUAUUUCAUUAAGUUAUAUACAAAAGCCUUCAGAUAUCUUAUCUAAAUUUAUCAAAUAUUCAUUCACUUUAGUUUUCUUUAGUUUUAACUUAGUCACUGAUUUAACGAAAAAAAAUUAGUAGAAUGGAUAAUAAAAAGGAAAAAAUAAAACCACAGAGUAUUAAAUUAAUACACUUUAAAUCAUAGGGUACUAAAGUGAGAAAGUAUGAAACCAUAGGGGUGGUAUUUGAAGUUUUUCCUAAUAUAUAUCUAUAUAUAUAGAAGAUUUGUCGAGAAAAUGGUUAUAACUUGUGGGAUUAAUUACUUCAAUGCCCUCUGGAAAAGUUGUAAUUUCAUAAAUGAUGUUUGGAGGGAUAUUUAUGAUAUAUUUAUAUAUUUAGAGAUUUCAUAAAUGAUGUUUGGAGGGAUAUUUAUGAUAUAUUUAUAUGUUAGAGGAGCAUGCAAUGAAUGAUGAGUCCGGCUACUAUACUUUUAUGAGUAUUGGCUCCUUUAUGCUUAUAAAUUUUUGGCUCUCAGAUUUAUUCUAUUGAUCAUUUCCACCCGUUAGAUCAUACUAUUCAACCAACUACCUACUUAACCCUAGAAAACCACUAUCAUUCUAAGUGAAAACCACCGUCAUUUUAACCACACAUUCUAUCAAUCAACGGUUAAAAAUUUAUGAGUACAAGGGCGUCUAUACUUAUAAAAGUAUAGUAGCCCAACCAUGAAUGAUGUAUUUAGAUAUAUUAUGUUUGGAAUAACCUUUCACUCAUACAAAAUUUGGUGUAUUGUGAUGUCUUUUACUGUAGGAUUGGAUCUGGACUGUGGGCCUUUCUUGAGCAAGCACGCGGAAAGCGCGGUGCAGCAGGGGAAGAUCAGCGACGCCAACAUCGACGCGGCCCUGAUCCACACCGUCAUGGUCCAAAUGAGGCUAGGGAUGUUCGACGGCGAGCCGUCGAAGCAGCCCUUCGGAAACCUCGGCCCGCGGGACGUCUGCACCCAGGCCCACCAGGACCUGGCCCUGCAAGCGGCCCGGCAAGGGAUCGUGCUGCUCGACAACGACCGAGGAAUUCUGCCUCUCUCUCGAGAUCGCGUCUGGACCGUCGCUGUCGUCGGCCCGAACUCCGACGCCACCCUCACGAUGAUCGGAAAUUAUGCCGGUAAAUUUGAAAGAGAGAGAGAGAGAGAGAGAGAGAGAGAGAGAGAGAGAGAGCAAAAAAAAAGAGAUUCAUUUCUUUAGUAUUCGGCCCAUUAAAGGCCCAAUGGGCUUCUUUUUUUUUGAUUGUCCAUCUUUGGUUAAUUUGCAGAGAGGCCCCUCCACUAUACACAGCUUCGAAAAUGAUCCUAUAGUUUUCCUUUUUAUUUAGGAUUUUUUUUUUUUUCAUCUGACCUUGGAACUCUUGAGGGGUGUUUUGAUCUAAAGUUUAUACUCUUGAGGGGUGUUUUUUUACCGAAUUCCUGUAACAUUUAACAACCAAUUACUAGUGAAUAGUUAACGGAAUUGUUUAAAUUAUGUCAUCUAACAAAAUAACUCUAAUAAUCGCAAAAUUCAAAAGAAAACCAAACUCCAGGAGUUUCUAAUUUAAGAGAAAAACAAAAAACAAAAUUAAAGUUGCCGGCUCUGUUUUGAAAGUCACAAUGGUUGGAGGGUCUCUUUGCAAUUUUAUAUAUUGCAUUUUUUUUUUCUUCUUUUUUUUUUUUCUGGGAAGAGUUUGCACUAAUGAGAUCUUGUAUAUGGUGUUAGGUAAUCCAUGUAGGUUCACAAGCCCUCUGCAAGGGAUUGGGCGAUACGUGAACACAAUUCACCAAAAGGGUUGCACCAAUGUGGCCUGUGUAGGGAACCAGCCCAUCGAGGCGGCGGCGGGCGCGGCCCGCGUCGCCGACGCGACGAUCAUGAUUGUGGGCCUCGAUCAGUCCGCAGAGACCGAGGCGUUGGACCGGGUGUCGCUCCUCCUCCCGGGCCGGCAACAGGAGCUGGUGUCGAAGGUGGCGGCGGCGGCGCGGGGGCCGGUCGUCCUGGUCCUCAUGUGCGGCGGGCCCGUGGACGUGACGUUCGCGAAGAACGACCCGAAGAUCGGCGCGAUUCUUUGGGCCGGGUACCCGGGCCAGGCCGGAGGCGCGGCGAUCGCCGACGUUAUAUUUGGCGCCUACAAUCCAAGUACUUUUUCGUCUCCAGGUGUUACAGCGCUAUUCGAAAAAACACUAAUAAUUUUUUUUAUUUAUUUUAUUUUUUUAUUUUACAGGUGGUAAGCUCCCAGUGACGUGGUACCCCGAAGAGUACGUGGAUACGGUUCCUAUGACCGAUAUGGCGAUGCGACCCGACCCGGCCCGGGGCUACCCGGGCCGGUCGUACCGGUUCUACACCGGUCCAGUGGUCUACCCCUUCGGCCACGGACUCAGCUACACCCGGUUCGCCCAGUCGCUCGCUGAACCGCCUCCGGCCUUGCUCGCCGUCCCGGUCCGGGGCCGUCCCCGGCUCAACUCGACCGGGCCGGGCUGGGCGGCGGUCCGGGUGGACCGCGCGCGGUGCGAGGGCCUCGUGAUCCCGGUCCACGUGGACGUGGCGAACGUGGGGGGCCGCGACGGGGCCCACACGGUGCUCGUGUAUUCGAGGCCCCCGCCACGUGGCGGGUCGGCGCCCGGGAAGCAGCUCGUGGCGUUCGAGAAGGUACACGUGGCGGCCGGGGGGAGGGUCCGCGUGGAGGUGGGCGUCGACGUGUGCCGGGACAUGAGCUUCGCUGACGUCAGCGGGGUGCGGAGGAUCCCGAUCGGCGAUCACAGCAUCCAGAUCGGCGAUUUGCUGCACUCCGUCUCGCUAACGGUCCAAGCCCACGUCUAAAAAACGUCCCCUCGACAUUUUAGAAAUUACGCAUUGGUCCUCCAUUUAUUAUUAUAGGAACUACGAAUUAUUAUUUCAAUUUGGGAACCAGGAAAAAAAAAAUGUUAGGGGGAGAGUCGCAAGAGUCUCUCGUUUGAAAACAGGAAAGAAAAGGGCAAAUUAUGACUGUAUUGAUGUAUUGAUUCAGGCACUGAGAAUUAUAUUGGGGGGAGAUCAAAUGAAAUUAAUUAUGAAAUUAUGCAAGUAGGAUAUAUAUAUAUAUAUAUAUAGUUGGACUGGGCUACUAUUAGUAGCAAAAUCUCAUUAUUACUAUCAGUUUUUUAGCCUUUGAAUCAACUCUUUUCAUUAUUUCUAACCAUUGGAUUAAAUACUAUAACCCAGUGGGAACCACUCAACCCUAGGGGGACAACUCAACUCUAACCGACUAAUAUCAUCCUGAUCCUACAAUUUUUCAUCCAAGGGUUGAAAACUUGAUAGCAAAAAAAGCGUUUUACUAUUAAUAGUAUUCCAGCAAUCCAGCCUAAUUCUCUCUCUCUCUCUCUCUCUCUCUCUAUAUAUAUAUAUAUAUAUAUAUAAUUAUUGAUGAUUCAAAUAAAAAAAAGGAAAUUGAUAUUUUAUUUCCGAAUUGGGUUUCCCAGUUUUGAUUAAUUACAAAGAGAUGUAAAGAUGACACUAAGAAGGCGAAACCCUACAUACAAAAAGGGAUCAUUCAGCAAACUUUUAGUCUCAAAUUUUACCAUUCCAGCACUAGAAAGGUAUCAAACAUAUCAGAAUGCAGGAUACAGGUCCAAAAUAGUAGAAAGGUAUCAAACAUAUCAGAAUGCAGAAUAAACAUCCAAAACAUAGUAGAAAGGUAUCAAACAUAUCAGAAUGCAUAAGACAGAUCCAAAAAUAUAGUAGGAAGGUACCAAACAUAUCAGACUGCAGGAUACAGAUCCAAAAAUAUAGUAGAAAGGUAUCAAACAUAUCGGAAUGCUGCUGAUUCACAAUCUCCAAAAUGUCAUAGAAAAUGGCUUAGUCUAAAACUAGGGCACAGCUCUUAUAUCUUGUCGCACAAUCGAAACACUUGCAGUAAAAUUGAUGCCUCUAAUAAAACAGAUGUGAUAUAGACCUUCGAUCGUAUAUACAUCAUGAGAGAACAUAAUCGAAUAUAGCAUCGCAUUUCGUCAGAAAGAAGGAUCAAUCAAUAAUCCUUUCUCCAUCCAUUAUGUGGAUCCUGUAAUCUACUUGCGCUGACACGAAAAUAACCCUAAAUAUUACAUGGCGAAUAUCAUAGUUACAGUAUGAUUCCUCAUUAACCAUAUCAAGGGGCAAGGGGCUUUUCCUCUUCUUACUUCUGCAACUGUACCUGCAUCUCUCUGCCAAAUCCGGUAACGAGGGCACACAGCAAACAAGAGUUAUUUGACCGCCUCCGGAGCUGAAUUGCAGUAAGGCGUAUGUAAGCAAACCAACCUAGUCGACGUUAAACACAGGCACGCAAACCCUAACCCCAUCAAAAGCCCGUAGUAACUCUUCCUGGCAUCCAACCUCACCGACCGCUUAAACACCCGCCCGAAACUAGGGAUCAACGUCCCGCAAGCAAACACCAUCCAAUAGUCGAGCCCGUUGUAGUCGAUGCCUGCAAGUAUCGCACCGAUAGCUGAGGUGGGACCUGCGAACCCAGUUAGGGCAGCGGCAGCCAGGGCAGCCCGCCAGCUGUCGGUGGCGCCGAAUAUGCAGCUGGCGACGGCAGCACCACGUGGCAAGCCGUGAAGGGAGGCCGGGAGUACCAUGUGGCGGCCGAGGCCGUAAGCUUUGGGGGCUGCCACCCCCAGGGCUAGCCCUUCGGCUAGGGCGUGUAGGGAGAUGGCCCCGCACGCCAAGAAUGAUUGCAAAGUUAGUGCACUUAAAGAAAGGGUAGAAGAAUGCGGGAAAUCAUUGACGGAGGCCUUCUUGCGCUGUACCAGGUUUAAUAUGCUGGAUGUGGCUGCAUGGUAGAAAACGGAGCCUGAGAAAAGGAUAGUGAGGAGGGAAAAGAAGCCCAUUUUUGAGGCAGCGAGUAGUUGUAAGGGUCGCCAUGCCGCGAGGAGAAAGGCAAUGCCAGAAGCCACACCGGUUAGGAGAGUAUGCGGCAGGUGGAAAGCAAGAGUGAAGGCAACAAGGGUGAUGCCGCCAAAAAGCGGGCCAAGACCGAACAGAAAUGACACCAAGAAGCCUGAGGCAUCUUCGGAUCUGUAACAUGGAUUAAAUAGUUAAUAGCAGAAGCUUGUCUCUUUUCUGAUAAACCCGUAUAGAUCAAAAUUUUACUGAAAAAACUGUAUUGAGUAAUGAAAACUGGAGCUUACUUGUAUCCAUGGCUAAACCCCUGAAGCACUACGCUUAAAGUUUCCAUGAAAGCAACAGCAAGUGUGCCGGCAGAAGCAACUUGAGAUGGAGUAGCUUCCUGGAAAGGAAAUAGAAAAGAUAUAUAUUAUGUUGCACUUGAAAGACGGAAGAAUGAGGCACAGAAAUGAAGUAGCCAACCCCAAAAUUAGAUUCUAAUGCUAACUGUAUGGAACAAAGGGGGGGUCAGUAAGUUUUAAUUACCUUGAAAGCAUCAGGGAGGACCUCAGCAAUCACCAUCCAUAUCAUGCAUCCAGCAGCAAAGCCCGUACAGAAUGGAAGGACCUUGUGGAAUGCAUCGGCACAAAGGAACGAUGGAACAGCUACAAGGGGCUGAAAAAUAACACGAAGCCAAAGUUAUUUUCGUAAUUGAAACUCGGAAUGGAAAAUAGAGGUGUUACACAAGCUGUCAUCAUUGCUUAUUAUGUUCAGCAGGGCAUGGCAUUUAUAUUCUUAGAGGGAAACCAGAAGGGAGAACAAUUUUCAAGUUCAAAAACAAGUUCAUUAAUUAUGCAGAAAAUAAAUUGCUGUGGCAACAUAAAUUUUGAAUUACUUUAAAUGAAGAGCACUUGCAAAACCUGCCAGUCUUCUCAACAUUUUUAUAAAAAACAAGCUCCGAGAACAGGAGUUAAGACAAAUUUGCAAUCAAAUUUAGUCCAACUAGAACCAUAAUUUACUGGAAAAAAAAAAGGACCCUUUGUGUUCAAUGUUAGCUGCUUGGCCAAUUAAAAGGAGUGUGCACGAUUCGGUUGGUCUGUUUUUGGAGCAAAUAUGUUUGACCUAUACAGUGGUCAAAUAUGAUAAGUUUUCAACUCUUAAACCCAUUUUUCUCAUAGUGGGGCCUGCUUGAUUUAUCAGUAAGUAGAAGCAACUAUACUAGUGUGGAUAGUUGUUGCAGUGGUAAACCUUAGAUUUUUUUGGAGAGGAUGCGAGUCCCAAACUCUCUGACCAGACAAUACUUUUCUACUUGUAAAUUUAAUGUGAGUAAUUUAUCUUUUGUUGCUGAUAAUUUAACUAAUUUUUAUAACCAGAAUUGGUUUAAUUCAGUUUGAAACCAGAUUUUUGUAGAAGAAUACAGAAGAAUGUAGACAGACAACAUAUUCUUCAGUUCAAGAAAAUAAGACAAAUAAUUUGAUAAUGAUAACUGCAAUGGACAAAGUUUACCUGAGGCAAUGAUGUAAUGAAACUCCACAACAUGGCAUUUUGCGGGGAGACCCCUCGAGAAGCAAGAACCAUGCUCACAGCUAAACCUUCAGGUAUGUUGUGCACAGCUAUUGCUAGGGUUACCAGAAUUCCUUGAGAAAGUCCUUUUGAUCCAGCAAAGGACACCCCAACGCCUGAACCCUCUCCAAAAGAAUGAAGUGUCAUUAUUCCAACCACAAGUAUUACUUUACUAGCAUCGGCACCUUUAAUGUCCAGCAUGCUUACUUCUCCAUAUUGUUCAAGAAACUGCACAGCAAAGAACAACAUUAGUUAAAUACAUUAUUAUGUGCGAUUCAAUGUCUAUGAAAGAUAAGUAGGACAUGUCACACCAAAAUUGACACUGUAAGACAUUGCAUGACCACUCACCAAAAUUAACAAAAAGUCUAAUUUCAAAUGCAAGGGUUGAACGAUGUGAUUAAAUUACAAGAUACUUUGGUAUCUAAAGUGAAGAAUAAAAAGAUAACUGAAGAAUGGAGGAUAUCCAAAUUACAGAUAUUCGACCUUGUUUUCGUUGUUUUCUCCUAAGGAAAAUAGUUUGAAAACAUAAAAGAAGGUAAGAAAACAUUGCCAAGCUGAGCAUGCAUGUAGUGCAACAAUUGCAUUACAAUUAGAAAAUUACCAACAAUUAGAAGAACACAAAGAAGCAAUUCAAUCAAGUGAUAUGCAUGCACAUAUGAUCAGAGACAAAUAUGGCUAUCUAAGUAAAUGAAGUUGUAAACUGAACACAUUUUAUGCUGGCAAGCUACAAAACUAAAAAUAACAUAAUAUGCUCAACCAUUUAGGUUGAGAAUAUAAACAUGGAUUUCAACCUUUCUUUUAUCGACACUUUAUACCUUCUUACAAAGCCAAAUGAAGAUCCCUCCACUUAAAAGCCCAACAACCACCCAGUUUCCACCACCGUAAUCCUGGCCUUCCUGAACAAGAUCAAAGCUUGCGGCCAACAUCACCCCAGCAGCCAAGCCAUUACACACACCAGCCCAUUGGGCCUCCAACUCCACAAAGAAAAAAGGGAUCGCUCCCAGCCCAGUUGCCGCGGCCAUGGCAAGAGUAAGCCAUGCAACAGUUGACACCGACACUCUGCUCCGACCAACCUCCCUCUCUCCAAAUGAUUGGAAAUUAUCAAACCCAGCUGUAACAGUUCCAUCAUUAACUUUAUUCUCGAUGUUUCUGUGAGGAGCAGUUCGAAUUCUGUGAACAAUUUCCUUCUCAGACUCCGCCAAUGUAUGGCCAUUUAACACGAGAAAGAAAAGCAGAAAAGGCAAAACAAUUUCUAUCCUUUGGGCCAUCAAAAGAAAUGAUAUAUCAAAUAUUAAAAAAAACUCUGGAGAUCUUUUGCCUCGGAACAGAUUAGAAUUAUCUGUACAUCGGCUAAUAUGAAGGGAACAUUCAAUCUUCUCCUUGAACACUAUACCCAAUUCGAAACUCUGCCCUUCCGUGAGAAAGACAAACUGACGAACAAACGCGUUCAGAAAUUAACCAACUCAGACAAGUUGGGCUGUAACAUAGGUGUCACAAAUUCUUCUUCAAUCUCUUCAUAUCAGCAAACCAAGCCUCUGAAUCCACCAACCUUUGAAGAAUAUACAUAGAAUUGUGCGAAACUAAAGGUUCCCAAAUUUUUCCCUUUGACUAUGACUCAGUCAUUAUGCAAUUCUAAAUGAGAAGAUAUCUUAACGCUCGAUCAAACAGGCAUCUGAGGAGAUCCGCAACUGCAGAACAAAUAAAGAUUAUCAAACCAUUAUUCAACAGCUAAUUUUGCAAAAUAUGAAAGCAAUAAAAAGACAUUCAGAUAAUCGAGAUGUUUCAAGAAUAACCAAUUUACCAAUCAAAUGCCUCAUUCAAAUGCAAUAGAAAGUAAGAUCCAUCAAGUUCGAUCUACACAACUCCCAAUUAUGAGUAGUAAAACAAAACUAUCAUGGCCAAAAUGAAAUGUUUGAUGAAUUCAAUAAACGCAUAAGAACGAUUCGUAACUGAAAAAUGAGAUCUUAAUUGCCAAACUGUUACCAGAUAUGAUAGCAAACGUGCCUUCUUCUCAAACAUAUUGUUUACUUCCUCUUUGCGUAAAAUGAAACCCAUCAAAACCCUAACUCCCCAUUUCGAAAGAUUUAUUAAACCCUAAUACAGCCGCGGCUAGAUCCAACAGAUCCAAAAGCACCAAAUUCUAGAGGAAAUUCGCUUAACAGGUUAAACAAUUUCUCGAUCAUAAAUCGAAUACCACCAAAACCCCAACUCCCAAUUCGAUUAUCACAACAUGCAAGAGAAUCAGAGAGGAACCCUAAAAAAGCCCUCAAUUGUGAAGUCAAACUGCUCCAAAACUAUCAAAUUUCUCGAGGAAAACAUCGAAAAAUUAGUAUUUGCAUAAACAGAAUCUCAUCAAAACCCUAAUUCCCAAUUCAAUCAUCCAAAAUCAAAGACAAUCAAAGAGAGGAACUCAUAAAAACCUCAAAAUGCGAGAUCCAACAGCUCCAGAAUCAUCGAAUUCUCGGCCAAAUUCGACAGCAAAUCAACGCACGAACGCGAUCCUAGUGGGACGAAACCCCAGAUGGCGUGAAAACCUCCUCUUUUAGGAUUCGAAUAUUCUUCGUAAAAAAAUAUAUAUAGUAAUUAAAUAGAUCGGAAAAGGCGGAAAACUAGGUACGCGCCCACUGAAUCGGAGCGAAUCCACAGCGAAAAAAUCGGUAAAAAAAAAAGAAAAAGAAACAAAGAAAUUCUUUUUUCGAUUGAAGAGUUCGAAUUCGUAGGGGGUGAAUCGAAUUGAUUUGGGGCUUCGAUUCGAAUUGAUGAGAGAGAGAGAGAGAGAGAGAGAGAGAGAGUGGAAUUGCAAAGGAUAAAAUGGGUAAAGGGGUCUCUCGCGUACAAUAGGGAAAAAUUCGAAUACCACCCUGUGAUUUUACACUUUUUUAUUUUCAUACCUUAUAGUUUAAAGUGUAUCAAUUUAGUGUUCCAUGAUUUUAUUUUUCUCUUUUUAUUAUCCCCUUCGUUAUUUUUUUUAUUAAAUCAGUGACAAAGUUAAAACUAAAAGGUACUGAAGUGAAUAUUCAAUAAACCUACGUCAUCUGAAGUUUUUUUGUAUAUAAUUUAACGAAAUGUUAAUAGAGGAGCUGACGAAAACAUCUAUAAACUCUAUAUUAAUCCCCAUGAUUUAAAGCUGACGUGGCAAAACCACAAUUUUUUGGAAUUUAUUUAUUUUUUAUUUUUUUUUAUUUAUUCUUAAUCUUUUCUUCUCUCUUUUGAUCCUUCACGAGACGUCCCUUCGACUCCCGCUCCUCCUCCUCCCCAACCCGACGUCCCCUCGAUUCCCGCUCCCCCCUAACCCGACGUCCCCUCGACUCCCGCUCCCCCUCCUCCCCAACCCGGCGUCCCCUCAUCUCCCGCUCCCCACUUCCCUACCCCCCAACCCAAUGUUCUCUCAUUCUCUCUCUUCAUCUCACCUACGUCUUCUCUCCGCGGUCCUCCUUCCACCUUCUCUCUCCUCCCUUCCAGAUCUCGCGUCGACGCGCGCCCCUGUGACCCCUACAACGUCUACACCAACCCCACCGCCGCCAUCCUUUGCCCCGACCCCUUCUAGAGCAUGUACGCGCAAAUGCUCUGCGGCCUCCUCCUCUCCGCCGAUGUCCUCCACAUCGGCGCCGUCUUCGCCUUCAGUUCUCCGCGCCCUCCACUUCCUCUGCCUCCACCGGCCCCAAAUCUGUCACGGCUUAUCCACCGGAACCCUGAACCCUGCCAUUGUCACCGACCCCUUCGUCUGCAAGGCCGUCGGAGAGCUCCUGACCAAGCCAGAGCCCGAACUAGCCCAGCGGAUCGCCGCGGAGUGCUCGGGGGACAACUGGGAGGGGAUCGUGCGCCGCGUGUAGCCGAACACCAAGUACUUGGACGUGAUCAUGGGCAAUGGCACAGCACAAAAUACUCAUACAAGCUAUCUUACAUUGCUGAGUUAUUGCAUUCAGGAAUGUUACCAUAAAUAAAUAUUUUCUAUAUUGUUUUCAUCAACAACUCGCAAGCUAGCCCAGAAAUAUCUGAAGAACAAUCAAAUAGUCGAAAAAGAGCAUGCACAUAAGAAUGAAUCAAUUAGAAGUUCACAUUGCAUUGAAAAAUCAAUAAGAAUAAUAACUUAUACUGUACUUUGUUUUGUAGUUACAUGGAAAGUUNUUAUAUAUAUAUAUAUAUAUAUAUAUAUAUAUAUAUAUUGAAAUAGAAAUUUAUUAGAUUGCCAACUUUGUAUGCUAUUAUUUAUUUCAGUUUUGUCAGAUCUGAUAAGAAAUUUUGCAGUUUACUUAAUGAAAGGCCUGAAGAGGACUAUGGUCCUGCUGUCAUCGAGAGGGAUGGGAUUUUGCAUGUAAAGGGCUUUCCUGCAGUGAGAACCCAACCUUUAUGAUAGGAGAUCUUUUGAAGAAGGUUCAAUGUGGUAAAAACAAGCUAUCAGGUUGGCCAAAGAGCACUUUAUACAAAUUUUAUAGAAGAGCUUUAGUUUCAACCCCAUUCCCAUAGUGAGUAGUGCUCUGUUUAGUGGAUUAGGUUGAGCUAAAAGCUCUUAAUGGGAUCCAAGGCAGUAAUUUUCGCGAGAUGUGACUGUUGUACACAUAUCCCUAGAGGAAACCACCUAUAUAAGAGUAUCCGUAUGUAGCCGCGACUAUGUAAUAUGGGCUAUCUAUAGAAACUCUUAUGAAAAAUCAAGAUACCGUCAUGGCCAUUAACGCACAGACACGUAACGGAGAAUUUUGUACUGUGUAUGUGGUGGUUGAAGUCAGGAUCAAAGGAACGUAGUUCAAGACCCGAUUCACUCCGAUUCCUUCUGAUGAAAAUUGUUUACACUAAGGGCAUGUUUGGAUCACCUAUUUUAGAGUAUGGAAUCGGAAUGGAAUUCAUUGAUUCCGAUAGUUGAUGUUUGUUUUAUAGGAAUCGGAUUCCGAUUUCGAUUCCACUCCGGAAUGGGAAUGGCCAAAUCCAUUUAUGAUCCAAUCCGGCUUUGAAUCCCGGAUUUGCUCAUUCCAAAGUAAACUAUUCAAAAUCUUCUUUCAUCAACACAUACCUCCUCUCCCUUUAUCACUUUUCUCUCUCUUAAUCAAAACCCUCUGUAAAAAAUUUUAAAUUUUCAUUAUGAUUUCCAUUCCAAUAAUGAACCAAACAUUUUUGGAUGAUUCGUCAUUCCAUUUUCCAUUCCAAAGCAAUCCAAUUUUAUUUUCCAUUCCUAUUCUAAUCAUAAACCAAACAUACCCUAAGUGAGGUUAAGUCUCUUAAUGAUACCUCACCCAUUGCAUGUAUAAACACCCAGUAUUUUUCUUUUCUGACUUUAAUUUGUAUUUUAAGAAUUUUGAGUUUUGUGGGGGAUUGUUGGUUAAAAACUCAAAAUUUUAAAAUUUGAAUUUUAUUCUAUUUGAAUUUUUAAAUUAUUUAUUUAUUAUUUAUCGUUAUUUAUUAUUUUUAUAAUUUAUUUAAUUAUUUAUUUUUAUUAUCUUUCUUAAUGAAAAAGAAACUAACGGGAUAUUUUUCCGUUCCGUGUUUCUUCCGCCAAACGGAAUCCCAUUUCGUUGCCCGCCAAACGGAAUCCCAUUCCGUUGCAUGGGUUCUGCUCCUUUCUCGAGAAAGAACGUGAAUUCUCUUCUCUAUAUAUUAUUUCUUUUUCUCCCUUAUUAAGAAUGAUAUUAGAUAAUCUAUAUAUUAUCUCUUUUUCUCCUCUGUUAAGAAUGAUAUUAGAUAAUUGGUUAAUCUUUAUCUAUUCAUUAUUUUAUUUUCUAAUAUUUUUUUCUUAUCUACCGGGUGCUGAAAGAAUUUUCGUCAACCUCUUUCGAUCGUGCUCGCAGGAGGUGGAAUUCCGGUCGUACCUUCGGGUGUUAUUUCCGGUUAAUCCCGCACGUAAGGACGGGAAUACACCUUAGGGCAGUGCCUAACACGCUUCCGGAUAAGAUCAAAAUUUUAUUGAGAUGUUUGCAUUUAUCUAUAAGUUUGAUUUAUUUAUUUUUAUCACAAAAUUAGUUAAAUUUUAAUCACAAUUCGAUUUAUGUUGCGGUAUUUCCCCAACAUAUUUAAGAUCUUUUUUUCGCACAUUUGAAAGCAUUUAAAAAUGUCGGCAAAUAUAAAUAUGCUAUACUAAAGAAUUACCAUCGUAAAAAUAUGAAUACAAUGAAAUAAGAAGUUGCCAAAUAGCCCUAAAUUAAAUUACAAGUCCUAAAAUUUCAUAUUAUAUUUCAGUGUUAGAUCUCUCUCUCUUAUUUUUCCUCCCAUCUAUAUGCUUGGAUGUGAAAGUGAGUUGUUGAGACUACUUUUAAAUUUUUCGCAUAAAAUUUAAAAUGCAUAUUCUAGACCGCUAAUUUAGUUAUCAAAUCAUAUUUGUAGAUGAUGUAAGAGUUGAAUAAUAAUAAUAAUUAUGAAUUAAUACCACAAUUAAAAGCCUAUCGAUUGUUGCGAUACCAUUUCUUGAUACUUGAGUUANUUUUUUUCAACAAUUUUUUUUUUUUUUUGCUUACAGCAAGUGUAAAAUUUUAUCCCAUGAAUUAAUCCUAUUUUUCAAUAGUCAAUAUAGCAAAAUUAAAAUUUCAGCUAAUAAAUAUCAACACCUUUUUUUUAUUUUUUUCUACAUCAAGUAUAAAAUUUUACACUUGCUAUUAUUGAUAUUUCUUCUCUAUAUUUUCUAAUGUUACUAACUAAUAUAUUGCUAUAUCUUGCAUGCAUCUUUUUUUUCAUUUUUUGCACUCUUUUUUAUCUGAUUUGCAAGCUUAUAGUUACAAAUAUGGUAUAAUUUUUUAUAUAUUUGUUAGUCACUGCUUAGUUCUUUUUUCAUGUGAGAUUUUUUAUAGUUCUCUCAUAUAGAUAUAUCAUUGGUUUUUAGAUUUUUUGAAUUAGUAAAAUAUGCAAUGAUUGCAAAUUUCAAAUAUUUUGUUAGUUCUAAAAUUGAACACUAUUAUAAAUAUACUGUUAGUUCUUUAUCUUAUUUUUUUAAUUAUGCAGUUAUUAUUUUUCUUUCGCAGGAUCGACCCGCCGCAACGCACGGGUGACUUAACUAGUAAAAGUUAAACCACAUGGUACUAAAUUGAUACAUUUUAAAUCACAGGAUAUUAAAGUAAAAAAUUACGAAACUACAGGGGUGGUAUUUGAAGUUUAUCCAUAAUAAUAUAAUACUAGCGAAGGUACCCGCGCGAUGCAGCGGUCAAUUUCAUAAAAGCAUAUGAUCGAUUUUUAUAGAAGCAGUAAAUUAGGAUCCUGAUCUUAAACAAUGAUGGAUCAUCUCCAUAGUGAGCAAACAGCACCCUCAUAAUGUCGGGAGUAGUCCAUGACAGUCAUAUCAUAAUCUGAUUGUACGGCCGCCGUUUGGCUCUCAUUCUCCCCGUCGCGAAAGUUACUCAAAUGGACCAAUUUAGGUUUUUUUUUUUUCUUUUCUUUGUAUAAGCACCCCUACUAAUAUGUAAAAUUGUAGAGACAGACCUAAAAAUUAUUAUUUGACAUAUUAUUUAGGGAUAAAUAUACAAAAAGAGAAAAACCCAAUUUAUUUACGGUUACUUUUCUUUCAAGCUAGAGAUUACAAUCAAGAUAAUCACAGAAUUUGAAAAUAGCAUAGCAAAACUUAAAGGGUUCAAUUCAAAAUAGUAUGAAACUCUCACAAUUUCCUUCAAGAAUAGAAUUUGGAAAAAUAUUUUGUAGAAGUGUUUGUGAGUAUAUCACUUUUUGAUUGUUGAAGUAUUUUAGUUCAUCUUAUCCAUAUAUUGUCUAAAGUUCAUUCCGAUGCAUUGAUAAAACAUGAAUUUUAUGGCACAUUUGAUUCACUUAAAAGCAAAAACAUUGAUCAGUUUAUACUUUUUAAAAUUUAACUCGAUUAAUUUUGAUACAUUUUGAAAUAAAGGGUAGGAAUUAAAGAAGAGAAAGUUACCUUUAAUAAAUAAUAUCUAGAAGAAAUGCUAUUAGUAACUCUACAUUAGGUAGAAAGCGAUGCAUAUCUGGAAGCUUCUGAGUGUUCUUGUUACCCCGCCAUUAUCUCGAUCAACGGCACUGCCUGUGCCAAGAUUGUCGUCCUCCACCACUACCACCACAACGCUGGUGCUGCUGGCUCAUCCACCUCGUCUUCCUCUACCGUACGAUCCAACCCCUAUUCUUUCUAACCCCGUGCCCUCGCGCGCUACACUCGCCACACCCACCAAAGGGUUCUCACUGAUGGCGGUGAGGAUAGGUCUGGCAACCCCAUUUUCGGCGAUGGUAAUAGUAACAACAGCCUCUUCAGUAGUAGCAGGGCGGCGAAGAGCGACAGCGGAGUCGGCAUGUAGGAGCGUGUCAAAUCUAAAGAGAGAGAGAGAGAGAGAGAGAGAGAGAGAGAGAGAGAGAUGGAGAGGGAGAGAAGACAUUUCAAAACCAAAGACAACCAUGGAAACUCAUUAAUUGGAGGACGACAUAUGGGAAGGCGAGAUAACCGGUGGGAAGGCGAAGCGGCGGCAUCGUAAAAUUGCAUAGUAAAGAAACUGAAAAUAAGAAAAGUGUGAACACAAUUAUAAAAUGUUGUGUAGGAAUGUGAGGAGGUGACAACACGAUUGAAAAUAAGAAAGGUGUGAACACAUUAAUUAUAAGAUAACGAAUAGGAAUGUGAGGAGGCGGAAACACUUCAUAAAAAUAGAAUAAAAAUUUUAAAAAUGAAGUCUAUUUCCCUAAAAUAUAGAGGGCAUGCCAUGUCAGCUCGGUAUUGAGCUUUCAUAUAGUUUUAUAGAUAAUUCAUAUAUAUAUAUAUGGUGACAAUGUAUGGAAAACCCCCUCACCAAUUGAUGAUUUUGAAAUGGACCGUCAACUCUGAAUAUUUUUUCUCUCUAAAUUUGAUAUGUGAAAAUUUUAUUUUAUAAAAAUAAGCGUUUAUACUGCCACAUUCAUGCUAUGACCGUCAAUGAUCCGAACACGAGUGAUCUGGGACUGUCUCGUGUUCAUUAUAAAGUUAAAAAAUUCAAUUUGUGUUUGGCGUUUAUUAACGAGCCGAACAACUUACUGACCGUCAAUCCUACUACCGGAUGAAAAGUUGAAGGAAAAUAAAAAAAAAAUUAGAAUCUUAAUUUAAUAAUUAAAAUUCAUAAAAUAUAUAUCUUUUUACGUUUCUGUGGGUCUAGAAUAAUUUAAAUAGUAAAAAUUUGUACUACACACACGAGCUACAGCGAGCUGAACGCUAGCGAGUUGACUCUAAUUCAUGUUUUACUUAUUAAGAUUUCGAGCUAAAAAAUGUAUCUCAUUUGAUUCGGUUAUUAAAUGAGCAAUCGAUCUCACAAUCUAGCUCAUGAAUAGCGAGCUAAAUCAACAGCUCUAGUUUAUAUUUUAUACUAUACGAGUGAUUGAUAUUAUACGAGCUAAAAAGUAUGAUAAGUCGUUUACCGUAUUUUGGAUUUGAAUCAUUGACUACCUAAUCAUUUAAUUAACAGUUAACAAUUAAUUAUGCCAUUAAAUUUAACGAAAUGUUUAGUGUAACUAAUUAUUAUAAUGCUGAAAUAAAAUUUAGAGAAAAAGAUGAACGUAACUUUUAUGUAACGUAUUAUAUCUAACAUAUCAACAGCACAUAAAGAUAAUAUUCUAAAUAACUUAUAAUAUCGAUGUUAUAGUAAAAGUUUUUUUUUUUUUCUGACAAUCUUAUCGAAUUUUGUAGAGAUAUAUUUGCAUUAUGAUAUGUUUACACGGAGAUGUAUGAAAUUAUCCCUUUAUUUUUUAUCAUCCAAACUCAUACUUUGCAUUUUUUUUAAUUAAGUUUUUACUGUUAAAAAUAGCUUCCAUUGUAAAGAAACAGUUUUUAUAGAGUUAAUAGUAUCUGAAAUAAUAGAAGCUUAAUUGAAAUAAAGAUUAAACUUUAAAACUAUAUAAUUAUUUUAAUCAAUUAUCGAACUCCUAAUUUUAUUUUUUUUGGUUAAUUUCGUACAGGUCCCUACAAACAUAGUGAAUGACAAAUAUAUUCCUACAAAGUUCAACUUUCAUAUGUUGCUUCUAAAAAAGUGCUGAUAUUUUCAAAUAUGUUCCUCUGAUUUGUAACCAUUAGAGAACCAUUAGAAAACCAUUUAUAUUUUCAAUUUUGUUAUCACAAAUAUAUCCCUUCAAAAAUUAUAACAGUAUAAUAUAAAGAGUGAAAAUAUAAAAAACUAAUCAAGGUUAAGUAUUUAACAUAUGGUUAACUAAAUUUUUCUAAUAGAUUCUAACGGCAGGAACAUAUUGAAAACAUCAGGACUUUUAUAGAGACAAUAUAUAAAAGUUGAAUUUUAUAGAGAUAUAUUUGUCAUUCACUAUAUUUGUAGGGACCUGUAUGAAAUUAAUCUUUUGUUUUUUAAUAAACUAUUGGAGAGAGAGAUAAAUGUGAUUAUUUUAUAAAGCUAGUCGAUGACAAUGAUAGAAUUAUUAUUUUUACCAUCUAAGAAAUUAAAAAUUAUGUAAUAACUUUUAAGUUUAUUACUUAAUAGCUAUUUUAUUAGUGGCGCAAUCUCAUCGAUACCCCUCUAAAACUUAUAAAUUACAUAUAUGUCACUGCAAAAGUUAAAAUAUUAGGUACAUCCCUUCAAAUAUAAAUAUAAAAAUAUAUUAUGAUUAUCCCUACUGUUAAAACAUCAUUAAAUAGGAGUCAACUUAUGAAAUGACGAUCUUACCCUUAUGAUUUGGUGAUGCGGGGUACCUUAAUAUGUAUGAAGGCCCCUCAACUAUAGGCGAAUUUGAUAUUGAGCCCUUAACAUCUUUUCUUCUUUUUUUUGUCCUUUUUUUGUGGUUGACACUGUCUAAUAUUUUUUUUAAAAAUUCUGAAGUUGAAAAGUUUAUCAAAUUUAAUAAUCGUAUGAGUUACAAAUCGUCAAUUAGUCUAGUUUUAUUCACUGAAAAGUGAACAAUAUCAUUAAAUUUGAUAAAAUCACCAAGAAGUUUGAUAAAAUCUCUAAUUUUUUGGAUUAAAAUCACAUAAUUGCAAAAAGGUUAGAAAGAUAAGGAGGACUCAAUCAAAAGAAUAAAAGUUCAAAAAAAAUCAAAAGUUGAAGAUGUCUCAAUAAAAAAAGAAAUUCAGUUGAGGGCGCAUUUCAAAAUUGCGUAUUAGUUGUGGGGCUUCCUACAAUUUUAAAAGAUGUAUUUAAUGUGCCAUAUAAAUAGGGAUUAAAAUGGCAUGUAAUAACUAUGAUGGUCAUUUUUGACAAAAGGUUAUUAAGAGAGGUCUCAUGAAUAUUUUUUUUCAGGCGAUUGCUUUUAUAUUCCUAAAAAGUUUUUAAUUUUUUAUUUAUUUUUCUUAGAAAAUUAAUAUUAAAAAUAUUUUUUAAAAAUUUUUAAAUCUUUCAUAUAUAUACCUCUAGAGUUAAAUUCUAUUAGGUGAACUAUUAGUAACAACUGUUAUCUAUGUGAAAUUAUUUUUUUGCCCAUCAAAUAUACCCUUCUACCACCAACCAGCUUUUCUUAUUUGCCCUUAUGUUAGAGACAAAAUAGAUAUUUUAUUAUUUUUUAACUAUAGUAGAAAUUUAACUUAAAUUUAAUUCGAAAUAACUUAACAUGCACUAACAACAGGUGUAUUUUUGAAUAACAGAGAAACAUAUGAGAGAUAUAUUUAAAACAAAAAAAAUAUAGGGAUAAAUAAAUAAGAUAUUUUAGAGGUUUUGAGGGGUAUAUAAGCAAUCAUCCUUAUUUUUGUAUCUACAGAAGGCCAUUUAUGAUAUUCUGAACUUUAGAGGGGUAUUGACAAAAUACAAAAUUUUACUUCCAAUGUAAAAUUUUAUCUUACUAUUUUAUCAAAUAGACCGAAAAGUUUUAAAUAGUCGCUCAAUUUAGAAGUAAAAUUUUAUAAAACAUUCAAAUUCCAUAACCUUUACUCAUGUUUUCUUUCUGGUCCUCUUAAGUUUAUUUUUUAAGGGUAAACUUAAAAUACCACCCCUGUGGUUUUAUACGCUCUCACUUUAGCAUCAUGUGGUUUAAAAUAUACUUCAGAAACCCCACCUAGGUUUAUCAAAUAUUCACUUUAGUAUUUUUUAGUUUUAACUUUAUCACUAAUUUAAUUAAAAAAAAUUAGUGAAGAAAAUAAUAAAAAAAAAACCACGAACACUAAAUUAAUUAAUACACUUUAAAUCACAAUGUACUAAAAUAAAAGGGGCAAUUACUUACAUACUCUUCAAAAGUUCCCGACUUUCUGAUUUACUCCUCUUAGAAGGCUAAUAUUGAAAAUACCCCUCCUACGUUCCAACCUAUUUCUAAUAUACCCUUAGAGUUAAAAUCUGUUAAUAACUCUGUUAUCUCUAUAAAAUUACUAUUUUGUCUUUUCAAAUAUACCCUUCCACCAUCACUGUCUUUCUUAUUUGCCCUUAAAGUCAAGGGCACAAAAAUAUAUUUGAACUUUUGGUCUUACAAAAAGUAUUUUAACUUUUGGUCUUUUCCAAUAUAUCCCUCUACCGUCACCAAUCUUUUUUAUUUGCCCAAUCUUUCUUAUUUGCCCUUAAGUUAAGGACAAAAUUGGCAUUUUAUUUUUUUUUAACUGUGGUAGAUAUUUAACUCACGUUUAAUCCAGAUUAACUUAACAGGAGAUAACUGCAGGGAUAUUUUGCAAUAACGGUGAAACAUAUGAGGAGUAUUUUAAAAAGAAAAAAAAAAGGGAUAAAUGAAAUAUUUACAUACAAGAAAUAUAUAGGCAAUUAUCCCACAGAAUUAAUAUUUGCAGUUUUUUUUAAAAAUUUCUUUUUUACGUCUGGAUACUUAACCUUCGUAUUCAUUAUUCUACUGCAGCUGCAUCCCAAACAUUCCAAUUUUUGCUAAUUUUGAUAAAAUAAGCAAUAUCAAUUCCAAUAAAACCCGGUUUGAUAAAAUAGGCUCACAUCAACUCCAAUAAAACCCAGCUUGGUGUCAGGUCUUAGCAUUUUUGUUCACAAAAUCCGU
RNAcentral lists this long non-coding RNA (32341 nucleotides) under Ananas comosus (pineapple). RNAcentral describes it as "long non-coding RNA (ACOM_LNC032452)". The record is from RNAcentral. Lineage: Eukaryota; Viridiplantae; Streptophyta; Magnoliopsida; Poales; Bromeliaceae.